Molecule: ribosomal RNA, 379 nt
Filed under: uncultured cyanobacterium
Lineage: Bacteria; Bacillati; Cyanobacteriota
Description: bacterial SSU rRNA
Rfam family: Bacterial small subunit ribosomal RNA
Source: RNAcentral
CGAAAGCCUGACGGAGCAACGCCGCGUGAGGGAUGAAGGCCUCUGGGCUGUAAACCUCUUUUAUCGAGGAAGAAGAUCUGACGGUACUUGAUGAAUAAGCCACGGCUAAUUCCGUGCCAGCAGCCGCGGUAAUACGGGAGUGGCAAGCGUUAUCCGGAAUUAUUGGGCGUAAAGCGUCCGCAGGCGGUUUUGUAAGUCUGUCGUUAAAGCGUGGAGCUUAACUCCAUUUAAGCGAUGGAAACUGCAAGACUAGAGUGUGGUAGGGGCAGAGGGAAUUCCCGGUGUAGCGGUGAAAUGCGUAGAUAUCGGGAAGAACACCAGUGGCGAAGGCGCUCUGCUGGGCCAUAACUGACGCUCAUGGACGAAAGCCAGGGGAGCG